This 467-nucleotide ribosomal RNA is filed under the name uncultured Pseudomonas sp. RNAcentral describes it as "bacterial SSU rRNA". It matches the Rfam family "Bacterial small subunit ribosomal RNA", at positions 338 to 797 of the family's 1533-position model. The record is from RNAcentral. Lineage: Bacteria; Pseudomonadati; Pseudomonadota; Gammaproteobacteria; Pseudomonadales; Pseudomonadaceae.
CCUACGGGUGGCUGCAGUGGGGAAUUUUGGACAAUGGGCGCAAGCCUGAUCCAGCCAUGCCGCGUGUCUGAAGAAGGCCUUCGGGUUGUAAAGGACUUUUGUUAGGGAGCAAGUCCUGCAGGUUAAGAGCCAGUAGGGAUGAGAGUACCUAAAGAAUAAGCACCGGCUAACUACGUGCCAGCAGCCGCGGUAAUACGUAGGGUGCGAGCGUUAAUCGGAAUUACUGGGCGUAAAGGGUGCGCAGGCGGUAUUGUAAGCCAGAUGUGAAAUCCCCGGGCUUAACCUGGGAACUGCGUUUGGAACUGCAAUGCUAGAGUGUGUCAGAGGGGGGUGGAAUUCCACGUGUAGCAGUGAAAUGCGUAGAGAUGUGGAGGAACACCGAUGGCGAAGGCAGCCCCCUGGGAUAACACUGACGCUCAGGCACGAAAGCGUGGGGAGCAAACAGGAUUAGAUACCCGAGUAGUCAG